GGUUAAGCGACUAAGCGUACACGGUGGAUGCCCUGGCAGUCAGAGGCGAUGAAGGACGUGCUAAUCUGCGAAAAGCGUCGGUAAGGUGAUAUGAACCGUUAUAACCGGCGAUGUCCGAAUGGGGAAACCCAGUGCAAUUCGUUGCACUAUCGUUAACUGAAUACAUAGGUUAACGAGGCGAACCGGGGGAACUGAAACAUCUAAGUACCCCGAGGAAAAGAAAUCAACCGAGAUUCCCCCAGU
This 243-nucleotide ribosomal RNA is filed under the name Klebsiella pneumoniae. RNAcentral's name for it is "partial 23S ribosomal RNA". It matches the Rfam family "Bacterial large subunit ribosomal RNA", at positions 1 to 244 of the family's 2925-position model. RNAcentral also lists the same sequence under 1 other name. The record is from RNAcentral. Lineage: Bacteria; Pseudomonadati; Pseudomonadota; Gammaproteobacteria; Enterobacterales; Enterobacteriaceae.